GGACCAUCCAAACGUUAUUCGGAAUUACUGGGCUUAAAGGGUGCGUAGGCGGCGCGGAAAGUUCGGUGUGAAAUCCCUCAGCUUAACUGAGGAAUGGCGCUGAAAACUACCGUGCUCGAGGAAGACAGAGGUAAGCGGAACAGCGGGUGGAGCGGUGAAAUGCGUUGAUAUCCGCUGGAACACCGGUGGCGAAAGCGGCUUACUGGGUCUUUUCUGACGCUGAGGCACGAAAGCUAGGGUAGCGAACGGGAUUAGAUACCCCGGUAGUCCUAGCCGUAAACGAUGAGCACUUGACGGGAGACUCCUCCAUAGGUUUCCGGUCGUAGCGAAAGUGAUAAGUGCUCCGCCUGGGGAGUAUGGCCGCAAGGCUGAA
Molecule: ribosomal RNA, 373 nt
Filed under: uncultured bacterium
Lineage: Bacteria
Description: bacterial SSU rRNA
Rfam family: Bacterial small subunit ribosomal RNA
Source: RNAcentral